Molecule: RNA transcript, 4821 nt
Organism: Gopherus evgoodei (Goodes thornscrub tortoise)
Lineage: Eukaryota; Metazoa; Chordata; Testudines; Testudinidae
Gene: CEP72
Gene name: centrosomal protein 72
Exons: 15
Source: RefSeq, a predicted model, not a curated record
UCACGGCGCAUGCGCAGUGUUUGAAAGCGAUGGCGGCGCUCACGGAGGAGGCGAUUCGGGAGCGAGUCACUCUGCGGCAUCAGAACCUCGCUGAUGUCCGAUCAUUGUCUCUUCCUGGAACUUAUCAUGAAAAGAUUACUCAUUUAGGAAAUUCUCUGAAAAAUUUCACUCGCCUAAAAUCCUUAGACCUCUCUCGCAAUGCAUUGGCUAGCUUGGAGGGUAUUCAGCAUCUCAUAUUUUUAGAAAAGCUCAAUCUCUAUUACAAUCACAUUUCAUCACUAUCAGAAAUAUUUCGACUUCAUAGUUUAACUGCACUCAAGGAUGUGGACCUCCGUCUGAACCCUGUAGUUAAAAAUGAGUCUGAUUAUCGUCUUUUUGUUGUGCACAUGCUUCCUAACCUUAGACGAUUAGAUGAUCGACCAGUGAGAGAUAGUGAACGAAAAGCAUCCCUUUUGCAUUUCACCACAGAUCAUGCAUUUGAAUUAAAAGAUUCUUCACCGACAGCAAAAGUGAAUGAAAUUGAAAGAUCUGGCCAGCCACGGAUAGCAUAUAUUAACUCCAUGUCAAGGAAGUGUUCAGUGAUGGAUGAAGAAGAUGAAGCAGUGCUAAACUUAAUUACAAAGUGUGAAUGGGACUUGAGCAAACCUCUUGGAAUAACAGGAUCUGCUAAAAAGGAUCCUGAAGUAGAAUUUCACAGCUUACAAAGUAUUCGCAAUAUUGAAGAUAAUGUUGGCAUUCCUAUGAAUAGGAAAUCCGAAACCAGACCCAUCAGCCUACAAAUGCGGAAGCAACAAGCAAAUAUGCCUAUGGAUGUUAGUUCAGAAAACAGAAAUGCGUUGAAAGUUCAGGAAACUGACGAAGAGUUCAGAAGUUUGCCUGAUUGUUCACCAACUCUGCCUGUUGUACAUAAUACCAUUAAUCAAGGGAAUGAGAAAAGGAAAAAUAGCACCAAAGUUACAUUUUCAGACAAUAAGAGUCAAGAUCUUCCUAAGAGAGAUCCUAAUCUGAAAUUUCAAGAUGAGGCUGAAUCUUAUAAAAAAAUUACAACCCAUGCCAAUUUCACACCCCAUCCAGACUCUCAAGAAAUUUCUUCUCCAGUCCUCUCCUCUCCAAAGAUGCAUACACAGGCUCAGAAGAUUUUUAAUACAUUAUCAGCAUCUAGAUUACUUUGCAAUAGAACACAUAAUGGAGGAGGCCAACCAAUUCAGAACCAGACUUACUCUGCAGCUUUACAGAAAAAUAAUGGCCAACCUAAUGUUAGUUUGAAUGUGUCUAAACAAGAAACAAUACAAGAGAGUGGCAGAAACCAUCCUCCUUCCAUUCAGGGACCUGGACCUGAAGAGCAAAGGCCAAAUAGCAAAACUUCAGAUGUCAGAGAGGUGUUUGAAACACAUCAAGUAGCAACUCAGUCAGCUAAUAAACAUCUGUAUGAAGCAACACCUAUGGAACAUCUCCUGGACUUAGUGGACAAAUAUUGGAAUGGUUAUAAAUCACUCCACUGCAAUGAGAAAUUUCUUUCUCAGGCAGGACCUGUUUUGUCUGCAAUGCAGAAAUCUGCACCUGCAGAUCAACAAAAAGAUUCUGCAACAAUGUGUCAGGAGGUGAAUAAUCUGGUAGAGAAAAAGAUUUUACAAAGUCGUUUGUCUGAACAAGAUCAACAAUACAACACAAAGAUUAAUGGUCUGAUGUCAGAACUGAGCAACUCUCAAAAAGACAUGGAUAUCUUGAAGCAACGUUUAGACCAGUUGUUGGAAGAGAACACUAACUUAAAAGCUCAUCUGUUAAAUGUGGAACAGAAUGUCAAAAAUGCAGACAGUUCUAGUUCAUUACAUUUGCAACUUACUGAUCUGCAAAAUGAGACUCAACAGUUAAGAAGUGAAAACAUCAACUUGAAACAGCGUCUUCAGCACUAUGAUCAGAUUCAGGAGCUCACAGAGAUGUUGCAGGAAAGUCACAGAAUUUUGGUUUCUACCAAUGAGCAUCUCCUGCAAGAAUUAGCAGAGACACGUACACGGCACAGGACUGAAGUUGAGCAGCUACACUGGAGUUACAAUCAGUUAAAAAAAACAAUGGAUAAACAUCCUCCUAGCAACAUGGACAACAGCAGGUGUUAGUGACAAUCCAAGGAAGUUUUGUUGUAAAUGAUUUAUAAGAGGGGACACCCUUGAGUUUAUCUGACUGUGUGAGCAAACAUUUACAACUGCACCAUGAGUUGAUGUAUUUGAUACCUUUUAUUUAUUCAGAAUUGUUUUUCUGUCUUUGUUAAUAUAAAUUGUUCAGCAGAGAUUUCCCCAGAACAAAUCUUCACUUUCUUUUUUACAGAAACAUGGAUGUGCAUGAUGGCAAUUUAAACCCAGUCAGAAAUUUUGGUUGAGCACUUUCAGUCCAGAACUCAGGGCUACCUAAAGCUAAAUAGUCAAUGAAAUGCACUGGUGCCAUGCUUUAGCCAAAAGGAUCUUCGGACGGGAAUCCCUAAACUGCUGAAAAUUAUGAACUUUGAAGAGACUUUUGAGUUUAAAGAUACCAAACAGAAAACCAACAAUAAAUCUCUUACUGAAACCACACAGUUACUAGGAAAUUUUGGUGAACUGCAAAUAUAAAUCUGGUGGCUUUAUCCUGGCCAGUCUCCCCUGUGUAAAAUAUUUACUUAAUCUGGACUCACAAAAAUAUUUGAUUACAAUUCAUGUAAUUGCUCAUGCAGAAGAGUUGUUAAAGCAAAAUCGCCCUUUUAAAUGCAGGUGAUAUCGUAAGGCUGUUACAGCUUCCAUGGCCAUAAAUAAAAGGACAAAAACUUUAAUUACUGACUGCUGUAUAGAAAUGUGAUUAUAAGGAAGAAAUCCUGAAGCGUGGGGGAACUACACUGACUAAAUAUUAAAGCACAUCAUGUACUCAAUCAUUUUUUAAACUAGCACUAUAGCAAGAAUCAAAUCUGAUUUUUGUGUAACUUCAUUUUUUAAAAGUCCAUUUGUUUCCCCCAGUCAGCACUUUAAUUUCUUGAGUCCUGAUCUUGCAAAGACUAAUAAUGCACGUGCUUAACUUUGCACACAGGGCGGAAGGUUAAGCACAUGUGUAAGGCUUUGCAGGACUGGGCCCUGCCUUAGUGUUAAUGGAAUCAUAGGCAUAGUUAUGACUUCUGUAUUUUGGGGGGAAGAGGGCAGCUCCAGUCAGGCCCACAGUGCCUGCCCCAGGCUUGCAGUUUGCACGAGGGGGAAGAGAGAGAAUGCCCUUGGUUCCCUCAAACUAUGCCCAUGAAUGCAAUUGAUUUUUAAAUUAAUUGUGUUUUAUUUGUUUAAAAUAUAGAUUUUGAUCUCUGCCAUAUCACAUUUGAAGUAUCUUAUGUUUCAAUACUAUGAGCUUCAAAAGGAUGUAAAAUCAAAUUACAAAUGAAAACAAAAGAUGAGGACUGCAAGGUUUGUACAGUGACUUUUGUGUGUGUGUGAAUUGAGAAGCACUGGGUGCUUCAAAUCAGACUGACAUGAAUGCCCAGUGAGAUGGAAUGGACUUAGAUGCAUGGAAAAAGAUCACAAGCAGAAAACCUGCAGCGUACACAAAUCCUGACUAGGGACUGUGCCAUUUACCCAGCCUAGAGUAAUGAUGUACAAUAGAAGCACACCUUCGACUACACUGCUUAAUGGAGUGCAGCUUGCUGCCUCCUACACAUAUUACUGUUAUCCUCUGCACACCCUGCUCUCCAAGUGCAGGGGCUGCAACUGUGCCUGGCCCUUGUGCAGGCUACAAAAGGGGCAGGCUCUUUGCAUCCUUCCCACACUGAGCACCUUUGUAAGGGCUAGGCAGACACUGAAUCUCAGAAAGUAAGUGUCACUGUUUUGUGUUCUCACCUCCAGUUAGCAGCAGAGAAAAGACCCAUCACAAAAGAUUUUCUUUCCUACUAUCUCCCCUCUUCACCCUCAUUUUAAAGUAACUUCUUCACCUGUUCUUUUUGGUUUUUAAAAAUUGACAAUUGAAAAAAUAUUAAAAUAAAUAUGCAUUUAACAUUUUAAAAGGAAAUAUAUAAAUGCUUCUGUCAACCUAAUAAUGUUGCUGUCGGUGUUAUUUUCUUAAGGCCUGAUCCAAAGCCCAUUGAAGUCAGUAGGAGACUUUCCAUUGACUUCAGUGGUCUUUGGAUAAGGCCCUUAUAGAACAUGUUUCUUUUGGUAGGAACUUUGGUGGGCUAGGAAGGAUUCAAUUUUUAUUUUUAUAUGUUGGUAAACGUCCAUGUCAUCGCACACACGGACCAACAGAAAAUAUUUCCGUAGAUAAUCAUUAAAGUUACAAUAGGCAGCGUAAGAAAAAUGCUGCUUGAGAAUUUACUAGAAUUUGAUUUAAGGAUAUUUACUUUGUGUAUUACAACAUCACAUUACUACAUAUGAUGUUUACAAUUUGUGUUUUAACAGUUGCAAAGCUACCUUUUUUGACUUGCAACAUCAACUGUCAUUAAAUAAUUGUCUGACCACCCCCAACUGGGAAAAUUUAAAAAUUAAUAAAAAUUGGGGAAAAAAAUGCUUUAAAAUACUGAUAUCUGAUGAAAUUAAGAAAAAAAAUAAAAAUCGAAUUCUGCCAAGCCUAUUUCUACACCAGAAGUAGUGUGCAGUAACUAUAGUGAUAGUGUUGUUGGUGCUAUCAAGCUUGUCGAUGCAACAAAGAGUAAUUCAAUAUUUCUGUUCCUUGUCAGCAGGUAACUACGAGUUGCACCCACUAGCCUUAGGGUCUGGACCGGCACUCACUCCAAACAUGGAACUCCUGUACACAAUACAGAGUGUACAGUGCUCACAGUUUUUAUUAUAAAUAUUUGCACUGUAAAAAAGAAAUAGUAUUUUUCAA